AGCUACAGAGAAUGAGUGAGGGAGAUAGACUGAGGAGAAAACCUGAGGGAGGGAAAAUAGGGAGAGGGGAGAGUAGUAUUCGGUCCGAGACGAAGAAGCGCAUGCUUCAUUAAGUGAGGAAGUAAUCCUGGCUAAUUAAGGCUCUCCAUGACAGCACUGUCAAGGAUGACUGAUCCUUCAAAUGGCACCUCCCUCUCCUGACUGACAGCCAGCCUGCUCUCACUACUUUGAAGGAGAGCCCACAUGAAACAGCAACCUGAGCUGAAACCAGAGAGAGCAGAGGCCAUGGUAUAUGACCCAGACGCCCAGACAGGGUUGUACUGUCCUGCCUGACAUCAAUCCUUGCCUGCCCCCCCUGCCCAGCUCGGCACAGCCUAACUCAGCCCAAAACGGGGGACGACGACGACCCGCUCGUAAACAUGCCUAUAAAAGUCCUGUUUGUAUUGCACCAGAAGGCAGCUCUGUCUCAACCCCCAGGAGCUCACGUGAGCGAGCACUCAGAGAUGACCGACUAUCUUGGGGCUAUGGCAAUCUGAGUGUCACAACAGGUGUCUCUGUUCCACUCUCCCUGUCAAGGUGAACAGUAGUCACCGGGGUGGAUGCUGGAUGUGAAUGCAGGAGCAGCAUGGUCAUCAGUUCGGGCAUACAGAGGAGUGAGAGGAAGGACAAUAGAGAUUGGCCAGGAUACCACCGGGCAAAUUUAAAAUGGAACAAAAGAAAGGCAGCCACUCAAAUACUUGAUCAUUACACGCUAGGGAACGGAUGAUUCCCAUGGCAAUCAGCAGCUGAUCAGGUGUGUAUGUCUUGGCCCAUCAGAGGCGGCUGGCGGCCAGGACUCCUCUCAGCUCGCUCCCUGAAGACCCCUGGCUCCACAGAAACAGGAAAUGGUAAUAGUAUUGCACUGCUUUUCCUCCCCCUAUCUGUAUCCCCAUUUCUCUCUCGCUGAAUGAACAAAAAAGGAGAAAAAAACAGAUGUGUAAUAACAUAUAUGUGUGGAAAAAUGGACCUAGACCAUAAAAUAAACCAAAGGUACACAUUGUGUUUUUGCACUUUCUUCAAAUCCAUAUAGAAAAAAAUGCAUUCAGUGUAUGCUAUACAAUCAGUAAAUUACAGUUGUCAGACUGUUUUGUUUUCAAAAAAUGUAUUGAGCUUGAUGUAUAUCUACCCUGUAGUUACCUCAACCAGAGAUUUGGAAAAAUCUGAUUUCAUUGUUUUUUUGCUAUUAGACAGUUGUUUGAAAAGUUGUUUGAAAGUCAUGUUUUUGUCACAGCAAACUUAACAUAUUUAAUUUUUACUUGUGCUACAGUAGCAAUUGGCAAUUCAACAAAUGAUGGUUGAUUUAUAUCAUGAUUAUGCUCUGAUUAAAACAAAGUUGUAUUUUGUCAAACCCUCCAGUCUUCCGACUGCCAAGCAGAGGGUCAGUUAUGUCUGCUUGCACUACAGGCUGUGUAGUCUCUCCACAGGUGGAUGAACACAUCCCCCCCCAGCCUCCAAGUGUUUAUGAGUCACUUCACCCCUGGCCAAGCAUGUGGUGAAGCCACCCAGCUCCAGCCAUAUCAGGGGGAUCUGCUAACUAGCCCCCAUGGACACUGCCAGGUUUUUAUAGUAAAUCGUGGAGCAAAACCACAAUUGACUAAAAAGAGAUAGGCUUGCUCUGACUUCAUAGCAUUUUGUGGUCUACAUUUCCCUUUGAGUUUUUUUUCAUUAGAGUUCUUUCCCUUCUCUUUUUUCCUUUCAUCUUAAUUUAAUAUGCAGCUGGAUCCACCAUUCCUCCUAAUAGUUUUCUUUGUUUUAGCCCUUUAAAAACAGUGUUUUAUCGUUUCGGCUUUCCAUUGGAAGAUUUAUUUUUCAUGAAAGCCUUAAUGUGUUCAAGAAGUUCCAAAGUUAGCUGCUAUAAUGGUGCAGCCACAAAAAAUGUUCUUCAAACACAAUAAUUUGUACAAAGACAUUGUGUCCUACGGCACAGUUCUAUAGGUUGUUGUCCACACCUUAGAGUAUCCAUUUAAAUAUGAUCACCAUUCCCUAUAUUUCUUAUAGGGGGGGUUGCAGUGAAAGCACAAGAUAACCCCUGUGGAGCACAGAUGUGGACAGCUUAAGUCAAAUGCACAAGUUCUCUUUGCCAAAAUACAACCAUAAAAAUCUGCCUGCAAUAAGUAACCAUGAAACCAAAAUGUCUCUUUUCCUAUAGCAGAACUGUGGGAUCUGCCCCAUCAACCGUGAACCUUAGUCACACAGGGGAUACCGAGGGGAGUGCUGAGGCCGGAUUGGGUGGAAAACCAUCUGGGAGGCUGAGUUUAUACUGGACAAAGAAAUCUGCACACAGAAGUCAAUAAACAUAGUGUGGAGUUGCACACAGAUUCUUACAGGGAUCUUCAUCUUUGUGAGCCAUACAGGCGCCAUCUGUAAAUACAGAUACAGCACAUAACAUUCUUGUAACCUUUCCUCAGGCCACACCUUAUACUGAUAUCCAUUUUUGGCAUUCCAAAACACAUAAGUAGUGCAGAGUCCUUGCGUUGCUGCCAAGGGUUUCUCAGUCCAGUGCCCAACUCCACAACUUUCAGCCUGGGCAGAGGAGGGCAAAGUACAGGGCAUCUGUUCUCAUUCCCAGGCUUGGAUUCACUUUAUUGCACUUUAUCCCUGUGGCUUCUCUCAAAAUGCCAGUUAGGUGCUUGGCAGAACUGCAACAUUUUCAUUUUUGAUCUUAUUUCUACUCAAUGUAGUGACGGAUCAGAGCAAAUUCCUCUGAUUAUGAGUUGUAUGCAACAUGCAUACAGCUCUAAGCAGGAAUUAGCUCUGCACACAAGCGUCAUUGUCUCCUUUGCAGUUUUGUUGAUUUUUUGUUUUACGUUGUGUUUAUUUUUCUUAUAUUCUUGAUGUAGAAUGUUUGCUGUUUUUAUUAUCUACUGCACUUAACAGCAAACAGUUAAAAGGAGCAUUAUGGAAAGUCAUAUUGAUGAAGAUGCCUCCUAAUACAGAACAUAACUGAUUGUAAAGUGUGGUACAACACAAGGGAUCCACAAAAGCUUUUCAAAACCAAUUGAACAAACUUAAAAAAUUCAUUGUCAUGCAUUA
Molecule: long non-coding RNA, 3072 nt
Organism: Siniperca chuatsi (mandarin fish)
Lineage: Eukaryota; Metazoa; Chordata; Actinopteri; Centrarchiformes; Sinipercidae
Exons: 6
Source: RefSeq, a predicted model, not a curated record